UACGUAGGUGGCAAGCGUUAUCCGGAUUUAUUGGGUGUAAAGGGAGCGUAGACGGUAAUGUAAGUCUGGAGUGAAAGGCGGGGGCCCAACCCCCGGACUGCUCUGGAAACUAUGUUACUAGAGUGCAGGAGAGGUAAGCGGAAUUCCUAGUGUAGCGGUGAAAUGCGUAGAUAUAUGGAAGAACACCAGUGGCGAAAGCGGCUCUCUGGUCUGUAACUGACGCUGAGGUUCGAAAGCGUGGGUAGCAAACAGG
Molecule: ribosomal RNA, 253 nt
Filed under: uncultured bacterium
Lineage: Bacteria
Description: partial 16S ribosomal RNA
Rfam family: Bacterial small subunit ribosomal RNA
Source: RNAcentral